RNAcentral lists this ribosomal RNA (233 nucleotides) under uncultured Meiothermus sp. Its description in RNAcentral is "partial 16S ribosomal RNA". It matches the Rfam family "Bacterial small subunit ribosomal RNA", at positions 355 to 607 of the family's 1533-position model. The record is from RNAcentral. Lineage: Bacteria; Thermotogati; Deinococcota; Deinococci; Thermales; Thermaceae.
UUAGGAAUCUUCCGCAAUGGGCGAAAGCCUGACGGAGCGAUACCGCUUGAAGGACGAAGCCCCUCGGGGUGUAAACUUCUGAACUGGGGACGAUGAUGACGGUACCCAGGUAAUAGCACCGGCUAACUCCGUGCCAGCAGCCGCGGUAAUACGGAGGGUGCGAGCGUUACCCGGAUUUACUGGGUGUAAAGGGCGUGUAGGCGGUCUCUUAAGUCCGAUGCUAAAGACCAAGG